Molecule: ribosomal RNA, 223 nt
Filed under: uncultured bacterium
Lineage: Bacteria
Description: partial 16S ribosomal RNA
Rfam family: Bacterial small subunit ribosomal RNA
Source: RNAcentral
UACGAAGGGGGCUAGCGUUGCUCGGAAUUACUGGGCGUAAAGCGCACGUAGGCGGAUCUGCAAGUCGGGGGUGAAAUCCCGAGGCUCAACCUCGGAACUGCCUUCGAUACUGCGGGUCUCGAGUCCGGGAGAGGUGAGUGGAAUUCCUAGUGUAGAGGUGAAAUUCGUAGAUAUUAGGAAGAACACCAGUGGCGAAGGCGGCUCACUGGGCCCGGUACUGACG